AAUAACCAAUUGUUCGCCAAAUAACUACGAGUACAAACUUAAAAUUUAAAAGACUUGACGGUACUUCACAACACUCUAGAGGAGCCUGUCUAAUAACCGAUACCCCACGAUUAACCCAACCCACCCUAGCCUGCCAGUCUAUAUACCGCCGUCGCCAGCAUACCUUGUGAAAGAAACUAAGUAAACUCAACAGGUUACCCCCUAAUACGACAGGUCGAGGUGUAACAAAUGAGUGGGCAAAAGAUGGGCUACAUUUUCUAAAACAGAAAACACGAACAAACUAUGAAACUAGAAACUGAAGGCGGAUUUAGCAGUAUAUUAAGAACAAAAUACUUAAUUGAAACCCAUGCAAUGAAGUGCGUACACA
Molecule: ribosomal RNA, 367 nt
Filed under: Atractus trilineatus (three-lined ground snake)
Lineage: Eukaryota; Metazoa; Chordata; Lepidosauria; Squamata; Dipsadidae
Description: partial 12S small subunit ribosomal RNA
Source: RNAcentral